Molecule: long non-coding RNA, 2410 nt
Organism: Camelus dromedarius (Arabian camel)
Lineage: Eukaryota; Metazoa; Chordata; Mammalia; Artiodactyla; Camelidae
Exons: 3
Source: RefSeq, a predicted model, not a curated record
UUCAGCUUUACAUAUACAUAUAUAUAUUCUUUUUCAGAUUCUUUCCCAUUCUAGGUUAUUACAAAAGCUAUUGAAUACAGUUCCCUGCGCUGUACAGUAGGUCCUUGUAGUUAAUCUAUUUUAUAUAUAUUAGUGUGUAUCUGUUAAUCCUAAACUCUUAAUUUAUCCCUCCCCACUCUUUCCCCUUUGGUAACUGUAGUUUGUUUUCUUUGUCUGAGAGUCUGUUUCUAUUUUGUAAAUAAGUCCAUUUGUCUCAUUUUUUUUUUAGGUUCCACAUAUGAGUGACAUCAUAUGGUAUUUUUCUUUCUCUUUCUGGCUUAUUUCACUUAGAAUGACCAUCUCCAGCGGCUCUGAUGGGGGCGUCAAGGGGCGUGUGGUAACGAGCUGGGUCUGCACCGAUCUGAUGCUCUGGGAUGCGCAACCUCGUGGCUGGUGGCUGGUGACUGUUGGCAAACGUGACCGUUGGCAAAAGGACCCAGGACCCCGGACUCACAGACGGGCUCCUGAGGCUGGAGGAGCACAGAUCCUGCUCCAGCUGCUGGACCCCUGGUGUCGACGCUGACCCCUCUCCACGCGCUGCCUCUGCCUGACCCUCCUUCCCCUGGGUUUACUGCCCGCCUCCCGCACUGCGAUAAAUGCCUUGUUGAUCGGCACCGUCUCGUGCUCUGCUUUGUAAAAUCCAGCAAUAACGGUAGCAGCCAUCACAGGUGGCGCACCAGGCCCACCCACGAAUCCGUCCCACCCUCGUCGCCGGCGGAGGACAGGCCCCGCGUCGCUGAGUGUUUGCUGCGUGCCGGGCGGUUUGAUGGUGUCCUCAGAUCCACCGAGGGCCGAGAGUUCUUGUUCUCCUUUUAUAGACGAGCAAACACAGAAGUUGACUGGGGUGUCGCCAAGCCGGAGUCAGUGGAGGAGGAGGAGGAUUUAAAUGUACCAGGUCCUCGGCGCACAACCGCAGACUGCCCGUCCCCCUGGGGCCUGCGGACACCCACAUCUGUGUGGCUGAGCUGUGUGGCCGGGCAGAGAGCAUGGUGAACUGAGGCACGUGCUCUGCUCAGGUAUUUGUUGGGGGCUGAAUUGUGUCCCCCAAAGUCGUAUGUUGAGGUCUUAAUUCUGGUAUUUCAGAAUGUAAAUGUACUUGGAAAUGGAGUCCUAAUGCAAUCAGCAGAUAUGAUCAGUUAAGGGGCGGUCAGGCCGGAGUAGGGUGGCCCUAAUCCCGGUGACUGCUGUCCUUGUGAGAGAGGGAAAUUCGGACGGGCCCUUCCCACGGGGAAAGCGCCACACGGGCGUGAAGGCAGAGCCAAGGAUGACCAGCCAAGCCCCAGAGGCUGGAGCGGGCGGGCCCGCCUCUCCCGCACGGCCCCAGGACGAGCCGGCCCUGCCCGCAUCUUCGUCUCGGACUUCCGGCCUCCGAAGCACAUUUCUGCCGUGUAGGCCCCUCAGUCUGAGGUGCUGUGUCAUGACAGCCCUAGCAGACCCAUGUAGUGUUCGCAUUCAGGUCCUCAGAGACGCUGGUUCCUCCAAACCCAGCAGCCCGUGACCCGUGCGCCGUCAACGCCGGGCCGCUUCGUGGAAACGUCCGUGAACUUCCUCCCCGCACUGACCAGCCAUCUGGGGGUGGAGGGCUCUCCUUAUUUGCCUAACCAGCUUGGGAAAGAGGGGGAGGAACGUUGCUUAAACCUGGAACAGGUAUCUUCCUUCCCUCGGCCAGCAUCUGGUGCCUUUUGAAUGAUCACGAUGACGCCGGCUGGUGUGAGCGCUAACUCUGCUGGGCGUGAGUCUAAAGGCCUUCUGUGAUCAGCUCCUCUGAUUGUGACAAAAACUUGUGAAUUACUGCUGUCAUGCUCUGUUUUUCCGCUUGGGGGCCUGAAGCUUGAACAAGGACUUGCUGACCCGUAAAUACGGCAUAAACAAUGUUGAUUUUAAUUUUUGCACUUGAAAAGCCCCACGGAUUAGUGUUUUGUUUUUGUUUUCCUUAUUCAGAUAAAAUAAUUCUGGCCCUUGUCGCUUAUAUUUGGUGGGGGGGAUUUGGCAUCUCAUUGAUAUUUUUGACGGUUUUGUGGACAGUGGGGAAUAUACGCUUACCUUUUUCCAUGCAUGAAAGUUGAAACCUCCUACUUAUUUUAAAAUUCGGGAUGGUGACAGAAAGGAAGCUGGAUACAGACAAAUCAUUUAAGAACCCAGAGGCAGCUCAGGUCAUCUGCCAUAUUUAUUACAGUCUUCAGCAUCUUGUCCCAGCAAAAAUGUAAGCUACACUUUACGUAGCGAGGUAUUGUUCACAUUUGAAAUAAGGGAUGGGUUUGCCAGGAAGCUGAUGGGGGCGCUGAUCUAGAAUAUAUAUUUAGACAAUAUUUAAAUAACCCAGAAACAUAGUACUUGUUUCUUGGUAUCCUGACACAAUGAACAAAAUGUA